GGGGGGAACCCUGAUCCAGCCAUGCCGCGUGUGUGAAGAAGGCCUUUUGGUUGUAAAGCACUUUAAGUGGGGAGGAGGCUUACCUGGUUAAUACCUGGGCUAAGUGGACGUUACCCACAGAAUAAGCACCGGCUAACUCUGUGCCAGCAGCCGCGGUAAUACAGAGGGUGCGAGCGUUAAUCGGAUUUACUGGGCGUAAAGCGCGCGUAGGUGGUUAAUUAAGUCAAAUGUGAAAUCCCCGAGCUUAACUUGGGAAUUGCAUUCGAUACUGGUUAGCUGGAGUAUGGGAGAGGAUGGUAGAAUUCCAGGUGUAGCGGUGAAAUGCGUAGAGAUCUGGAGGAAUACCGAUGGCGAAGGCAGCCAUCUGGCCUAAUACUGACACUGAGGUGCGAAAGCAUGGGGAGCAAACAGGAUUAGAUACCCUGGUAGUCCAUGCCGUAAACGAUGUCUACAAGCCGUUGGGGGAUUUGAUCCUUUAGUGGCGCAGCUAACGCGAUAAGUAGACCGCCUGGGGAG
This 516-nucleotide ribosomal RNA is filed under the name uncultured bacterium. RNAcentral's name for it is "bacterial SSU rRNA". It matches the Rfam family "Bacterial small subunit ribosomal RNA", at positions 373 to 880 of the family's 1533-position model. The record is from RNAcentral.